GGGGAUGUAGCUCAGUGGCAGAGCACUUGCCUCACAUGCAUGAGGCCCUGGGUUCAAUCCCCAGUAUCACAA
RNAcentral lists this transfer RNA (72 nucleotides) under Marmota marmota marmota (Alpine marmot). It matches the Rfam family "tRNA". From Rfam's summary of the family: Transfer RNA (tRNA) molecules are approximately 80 nucleotides in length. Their secondary structure includes four short double-helical elements and three loops (D, anti-codon, and T loops). Further hydrogen bonds mediate the characteristic L-shaped molecular structure. tRNAs have two regions of fundamental functional importance: the anti-codon, which is responsible for specific mRNA codon recognition, and the 3' end, to which the tRNAs corresponding amino acid is attached (by aminoacyl-tRNA synthetases). tRNAs cope with the degeneracy of the genetic code in two manners: having more than one tRNA (with a specific anti-codon) for a particular amino acid; and 'wobble' base-pairing, i.e. permitting non-standard base-pairing at the 3rd anti-codon position. RNAcentral also lists the same sequence under 3 other names. Lineage: Eukaryota; Metazoa; Chordata; Mammalia; Rodentia; Sciuridae. The record is from Rfam by way of RNAcentral.